This is a long non-coding RNA of Paramacrobiotus metropolitanus, 666 nucleotides long. RefSeq lists it as uncharacterized. Lineage: Eukaryota; Metazoa; Tardigrada; Eutardigrada; Parachela; Macrobiotidae. The record is from RefSeq and is a predicted model, not a curated record. The transcript is spliced from 2 exons.
UCUCUUGCUUUUCUCGCUUCCAAAACUCCAAAAGUCAAAACUACUCGAUAGAGAAAGCUUAACUGCAGAACUGACCAAUAUUUUUAAUUUUUUUGUCACGUUUGAAUUAACUCGGCUGGAUCAUUAUUAUAGUAGGAUCGAGGACAAUAACUGACAUAUCAAUGGAGUCCACAUUUUCGCAAGAGCCGGACGAGGAAGGAACAGUGGUCCCCAGCGGAGUCGACAGCACGUUCAAGCAUUCCGUAUGCGAGGGGAAAGUUCCUCCCAGACCCCGCACAUCAUCGGUGGGCGGCGAAGGACAAACGAAAACUGCCCCGGAGCCGGUUGCCGAUGCAGCCGAACCCAAGAAGGUUCAUGUGGAUGAUGAAGCAUGAUUGUCGCGGAACUGAUUAUCAUUGGACCGCGGUAGAUGAUAAAUAAAUCUGAAGCUAUGUCGAUCCCAAUAUUUGGGAUGCCUUCUCAUUUCCAGUUAUAGUUUCCGCUUCGGCAGUACUUUAAGCCGUAUAAAGUUUCCGAUGCAGUUUUGUUUUUUCGUGUCCUCAUUUACAGUUUGCCUGUGUCGUUAAUAGGGUUAAUUUUCACUUAUUUUCACUACCAGUAGUUUUGUAGAUAAAUGGGUAGUUUUGGUUUGAUUCUAUUAAUUUGAACCACGAUACGUAAUAGUGA